AAGCUCGUAGUUGAAUUUCGGACCGGGCUGGGUGGUCUUGCCGCAAGGUAAGCACUGCUCUGGUCUGGUCUUUCUUUCUGGAGCUCUCCCGUGCUCUUAAUUGAGUGCGAGAGGUGAUCCAGGACUUUUACUUUGAAAAAAUUAGAGUGUUUAAAGCAGGCUUACGCUUGAAUACAUUAGCAUGGAAUAAUAGAAUAGGACUUUGGUUCUAUUUUGUUGGUUUCUAGGACCGAAGUAAUGAUUAAUAGGGAUAGUUGGGGGCAUUAGUAUUUAAUUGUCAGAGGUGAAAUUCUUGGAUUUAUGAAAGACUAACUUCUGCGAAAGCAUUUGCCAAGGAUGUUUUCAUUAAUCAAGAACGAAAGUUAGGGGAUCGAAGACGAUCAGAUACCGUCGUAGUCUUAACCAUAAACUAUGCCGACUAGGGAUCGGACAACGUUAUUUUAUUGACUUGUUCGGCACCUUAUGAGAAAUCAAAGUUUUUGGGUUCCGGGGGGAGUAUGGUCGCAAGGCUGAAACUUAAAGGAAUUGACGGAAGGGCACCACCAGGAGUGGAGCCUGCGGCUUAAUUUGACCCAACACGGGAAAA
This 586-nucleotide ribosomal RNA is filed under the name uncultured Chytridiomycota. RNAcentral's name for it is "SSU rRNA". It matches the Rfam family "Eukaryotic small subunit ribosomal RNA", at positions 624 to 1213 of the family's 1831-position model. Lineage: Eukaryota; Fungi; Chytridiomycota. The record is from RNAcentral.